Molecule: ribosomal RNA, 698 nt
Filed under: uncultured bacterium
Lineage: Bacteria
Description: bacterial SSU rRNA
Rfam family: Bacterial small subunit ribosomal RNA
Source: RNAcentral
CAGUCGAACGGAGAUACGCGCUGAAUGACGAAGCUUGCUUUUGAAUUCUUGUGUAUCUUAGUGGCGGACGGGUGAGUAACGCGUGAGCAACCUGCCUUUCAGAGGGGGAUAACGUUUGGAAACGAACGCUAAUACCGCAUGAGACUACAGUACUACAUGGUACAGUGGCCAAAGGAGCAAUCCGCUGAAAGAUGGGCUCGCGUCCGAUUAGAUAGUUGGCGGGGUAACGGCCCACCAAGUCGACGAUCGGUAGCCGGACUGAGAGGUUGAACGGCCACAUUGGGACUGAGACACGGCCCAGACUCCUACGGGAGGCAGCAGUGAGGGAUAUUGGUCAAUGGGGGAGACCCUGAUGCAGCGACGCCGCGUGGGUGAAGAAGCGCCUCGGCGCGUAAAGCCCUGUCAGCAGGGAAGAAAAUGACGGUACCUGAAGAAGAAGCCCCGGCUAACUACGUGCCAGCAGCCGCGGUAAUACGUAGGGGGCAAGCGUUAUCCGGAUUUACUGGGUGUAAAGGGGGCGCAGACGGCGAUGCAAGCCAGGAGUGAAGGCCCGGGGCCCAACCCCGGGACUGCUCUUGGAACUGCGUGGCUGGAGUGCAGGAGGGGCAGGCGGAAUUCCUGGUGUAGCGGUGAAAUGCGUAGAUAUCAGGAGGAACACCGGUGGCGAAGGCGGCCUGCUGGACUGCAACUGACGUUGA